This 572-nucleotide ribosomal RNA is filed under the name uncultured bacterium. RNAcentral's name for it is "bacterial SSU rRNA". It matches the Rfam family "Bacterial small subunit ribosomal RNA", at positions 11 to 577 of the family's 1533-position model. The record is from RNAcentral.
GUUUGAUCAUGGCUCAGAUUGAACGCUGGCGGCAUGCCUAACGCAUGCAAGUCGAACGGUAACGCGGGGGCAACCCUGGCGACGAGUGGCGGACGGGUGAGUAAUACGUAGGAAUCUGCCCAUUUGUGGGGGAUAACCCGGCGAAAGCCGGGCUAAUACCGCAUACGCUCUACGGAGGAAAGCAGGGGAUCGUAAGACCUUGCGCUAAUGGAUGAGCCUACGUCGGAUUAGCUAGUUGGUAGGGUAACGGCCUACCAAGGCGACGAUCCGUAGCUGGUCUGAGAGGACGAUCAGCCACACUGGGACUGAGACACGGCCCAGACUCCUACGGGAGGCAGCAGUGGGGAAUAUUGGACAAUGGGGGCAACCCUGAUCCAGCAAUGCCGCGUGUGUGAAGAAGGCCUGCGGGUUGUUAAGCACUUUCAGAGGGGAAGAAAAAAUCGGAUCUAACACAUCCGAUCUUGACGUUACCCUUAGAAGAAGCACCGGCUAACUCCGUGCCAGCAGCCGCGGUAAUACGGAGGGUGCCAGCGUUUAAUCCGAAUUACUGGGGCGUUAAGCGCACGCAGGUG